GCAAAACGGACACCCAAGUAGGUCUGGGCGCUACCCGUGACUACACAUGAGCAAAACGAACACCCUACUAAUUUAAUCGGUUCUAAAGGUGUCGACUUGUCUCAAAGUGAAAAGUCCAGUGUUUUGUUCCGAGGCUAUUCUUUCACACAUGGCACGUAGGUUAGCCAAAGAGCCGUAACUCUUAGGCCUCCUACGAUCAUAAAGCGCCUGGAACGCUUCCUCAGUCACUACGCCCAUUAGCCCUCUCUGAACGUCCUUCUUAGAUGGCCUUCUUGUGCCUCUCGGGUACGUUGUGUCAAGGUACGAAAGCCUAGCAGCUAAGCUUUCGACUGGGCAGCGUAGGAAACUGUCGGGAUCAUGUCGUCUAACAUCCUGGCGCCGGCUACGGUCACUGUCAUAACUUGGCGGCCGCUCAAAAGUUUGCACUUGGCUGGCAAACGCCACAACGGGCGCUUGUUGAUUGUCACCUCGUGCAUGAGAGCGACCUCUUUCUCCACCUUCAGCAUGGCGCCGAAGGUCGAUCAUUUUGUGCUCGUAAUCGGCCACGAUGUCUAUAUACACCUGAUAAGCACGUGCAUAAGACUGAUAAUCACCACUGAACAUCUCCAAAGUGGGGCAAACCGGCCUCUCGACUUGGAUUUGC
Molecule: unclassified non-coding RNA, 643 nt
Filed under: Hevea brasiliensis (rubber tree)
Lineage: Eukaryota; Viridiplantae; Streptophyta; Magnoliopsida; Malpighiales; Euphorbiaceae
Source: RNAcentral